UACGGAGGGUGCAAGCGUUAUCCGGAUUCACUGGGUUUAAAGGGUGCGUAGGUGGGCAGGUAAGUCAGUGGUGAAAUCUCCGAGCUUAACUCGGAAACUGCCGUUGAUACUAUUUGUCUUGAAUAUUGUGGAGGUAAGCGGAGUAUGUCAUGUAGCGGUGAAAUGCUUAGAUAUGACAUAGAACACCAAUUGCGAAGGCAGCUUACUACACAACGAUUGACGCUGAGGCACGAAAGCGUGGGGAUCAAACAGG
Molecule: ribosomal RNA, 253 nt
Filed under: uncultured bacterium
Lineage: Bacteria
Description: partial 16S ribosomal RNA
Rfam family: Bacterial small subunit ribosomal RNA
Source: RNAcentral